UCUUCAUGCCUGUGAAACCUUUCCGCUUUCUACAGACAUUUAGUUCUAGUAUUUAAAUGCAUCAUUCAAGUUCGAGCUGUUUCGAAAUAAUGAACCACUCGCCACGCUCGCCUUGCCAGACGUCAGUAGCGCCGGGUUACUUGCGAGGUGCGUUUGUGUGGUGGGCAUUGUGCUGACGUCUACGUGUUUGUGGUCGAAAUGAAACAAUUUCCGAAGUCCUUCCCGAAGACUGUUCCUAAGUACCCAGCAGCGUUUUAUCAUCGUUUCGCUGUCAUGUUCCUCCCGGUGGCUUUCCUCUCCCCCGUUGUACCACAAAACAUUUUACUGAUGGAAGCUGGACGCCGACGCUUUGAAAUUGGUUUCUGCUUGUCACCAUUAUGUACGUAGCGGAGAUGAAUGACUCGCAGCUAACGCGUCGUACUCCCUUCAUCUGUCAUGAGUUUCUGUAUACUUCGUAGUUCUUCCCUGAGCUUAGAUGGAAUGUGUUCCAAUCCAUGCUGCUGAAAGAUUUGGUGAUGAUGCCUCUGCCUCAUUCUUACGUUAAUUUCAUUUUUAACCUUACCUGAUGUGCUGCAUUGGUGUGCCGUGGUAACAGAAACAUGGAGGUUAUUACAGUACGGUGAUAACUUUCACUUUCAUCUAUUAAGUUUAAUAUUGCUUUCAUUUUCCCCCUUCAUACUGUGCAAGUGAAGGGUAAAAUGUAUUGUUAAUUCCGAUUGUUCAGUGUCGUGAAAAGUUUACGUAGGCUAAUCUGUUUAUAGUUUCACACAUGCAAGUUGAGAUAUCUUGAUGAGUGUUUGGUGAGCGCUAGUAACUUGUUUGUAAAUUCCGAUGUACCAUCUCGUGCCGCCUUCAGUCUUAUUUGUUUAAUUAAUUCAUUGGGUUUAUCAAUUUUAUUUAUUCUUAUUUCUUUAUCUUACUUUA
This is a long non-coding RNA of Scylla paramamosain (green mud crab), 924 nucleotides long. RefSeq lists it as uncharacterized. The record is from RefSeq and is a predicted model, not a curated record. NCBI's taxonomy places the organism in Eukaryota, Metazoa, Arthropoda, Malacostraca, Decapoda, Portunidae. The transcript has 3 exons.